RNAcentral lists this ribosomal RNA (253 nucleotides) under uncultured bacterium. RNAcentral describes it as "partial 16S ribosomal RNA". It matches the Rfam family "Bacterial small subunit ribosomal RNA", at positions 524 to 776 of the family's 1533-position model. The record is from RNAcentral.
UACGGAGGAUGCAAGCGUUAUCCGGAAUGAUUGGGCGUAAAGCGUCCGCAGGUGGCUAUGUAAGUCUGCUGUUAAAGAGUGAGGCUCAACCUCAUAAGAGCAGUGGAAACUACAUGGCUAGAGUGCGUUCGGGGCAGAGGGAAUUCCUGGUGUAGCGGUGAAAUGCGCAGAUAUCAGGAGGAACACCAAUGGCGAAGGCGGGUAGCUGGGCCGACACUGACGCUGAGGCGCGAAAGCCAGGGGAGCGAACGGG